This 3859-nucleotide long non-coding RNA is filed under the name Homo sapiens (human). RNAcentral's name for it is "HSALNT0329695". Lineage: Eukaryota; Metazoa; Chordata; Mammalia; Primates; Hominidae. The record is from RNAcentral.
AUAGAUAAAAAAGACUCUAUUCAAGCUUGUCCAGCCUGCACACAUGGGCUGCAUGUGGUCCAGGACAGCUUUGAAUACGGCCCAACACAAAUUGGUAAAUUUUCUUAAAGCAUUAUGAGAUUGUUUUGCGAGUUUUUUUUCUUUUUUUUAGCUCAUCAGCUAUCGUUAGUGUUAGUGUGUUUUAUGUGUGGCCCAAGAUAAUUAUACUUCACUGUGGCCUAGGGAAGCCAAAAGAUUGGACAUUCCUACCAAUUUCUGAGAAUCAGUUCCUUCCUAUGUCUUUUUACUUAAAAGGCAUUUUGUAAGGUAUUUUGUAGCAACAUCACUGGUUGUUUUAGAAGUGUAUUUUUUAAAAAAGCACACUUGUCCUAGCGGAAGAAGGUUCAGUGAGCACUAAGAGGAUGUUGGCUUCUCUUGGGUUUAAGAUAAUUAGUUUUCAGGUUGCUGUAGCCAAAACAGUUCAGGUGAUGAGGGGUUGGGACAGUGGCUAAUACUAUUUUGUAUUACAGCAGUUUUGAUGCAGCUAUCGUUUUAUAAACAUUUUUAAGAUUGUCAGUAGACUGCAGCAAUGCUUAUAAGGAAGAUUUAUUUAGAGCUCUGUAGUAUUUAUGAUUGAAAGAAGGAAGCAUUUUUAAAACACCCUUCCCAUUUAACAUUUUAAAUAUUACUGAUUUUUGUCAUUGAGUUUGUAAGUCUAUCAUAAGCUUUGCAAAAACAAAACUUGUUCUUUCUAUCUAAAUCAGUUUUUCUGUUUAAAAAAAGGGUAAUGGGGCUAUAGGGAAAAUUCAAAGAAGAGCUAUGGGCAGCUUGCUUAACCAUCUCCAUGUUAACGUAUGUUGGAUGGGAGGUGGGAAGAGGGAUUUAGACUGGUGGUGAAGACUUAUCCAUAUUAUAUCAAAUGGGUGUGUGUAUAAUUCCUAGUGAGAGAUUUUCUGAGGCAGUUUAUUGAUGUUUAGAGAUGGAUUUUGAAAAGAUCCUUAUACUUUGUCUUAAUCAGUUACCCCUUCCCAUCUAAUAAACCUCCUUCAUUAUUUCAUUUUAAAUAAUACUUUCAUUUGAGAUAAAUGCUGAGAAUUUUAACAGAAAAGUUAAAACUGAAACCCCCAAACCAGUAGCAAAGGUUUAUGAGUGUGCCCUUCUAACCUGUUCUGGUAGUCACUGUACAUUGAUCCUUGGCUUUCUUUGACAGAUACUUUGCUGAUUAUAGAUGGAGCUCUAGCUCUUUUUGAAAGGGUUCUCAGAGAAAUUGGUUUGGUUCUAAAGUGUUUCUUGAGUUCUUUGUACCUAAGAAAGCCUUUCAUUCUGCAUAGCGUUUAUCACCAUCCAACAUAUAUAUUUCUUUACCCUGUUUAUUGACUGUCUUACCUCAUGGGAAUGUAAGAUCUGUGAGGACAGACCUGUGUUGCCACUGCUAGAACAGUUCUUGAUAUGUUAUAAGUAAGCAUACCAAUAUUUGUUGAAUGAAUGAGAGUACUGAAGCAAGAAGUGAAUUUUUUAAGUAUUAGAAUUUACCUUUUAAAUAAUGUAAUAUUUACUUCUUAGUUGAAUUGCUUCUAGCUCAAUGUUUUAUUAGCUCUCUUUAUGCCUGAGAAGUGGUUUGAUGUGGGGUGGGGUAUUGUGGGAGCUGGCUAAAGUAUAAUUGAGAAGAAGGGGAAAUUCAGCUAAGAAAGCACUCAUAUCCUUUCUCUUUGAACUUUUGGACUUUUGCUCCAAAGUUAUCAAAUUCUUGGAAUUGUUGCUUGUAGAACCUGCAAAAUUAAUAGUCAAGUUAGAGCUUUAACCUGUUAACAUUUAAUAUUUUCCCAAAGAAAGUAGGAAGGGCAUAGUUUCCUUGAUACGCUUGACAAGAGAAAAUAACCCCAAAAAGUGUACUUUUAAUUACACAGCUUACAGAAGCUGGGGUGUUACAAAUUUUGUAGUGUGAUUUUAGUGCCCUGGUUUAGACCCCAUAAUAUCCUUCCCUAACUGUUGUACAUAAGGGGCAAGCCUUUCAUUGCACUCAGGUGGGAGUGGGAGCAAGGAAUACCUUUGAGAGAGAGAACGUAUGAUAAAACAAAUACAUGAACCAUAUUUGUGCUUCAGAAUAAAAGAUUAAUUUUGCUGAAGAGUGUGUGUGGGUGAUGUAGGGGGAGAAGUUCAGGAAGAAGAAACAACAGGGUCUAGAGGGUUUUUUAGAUUUUGUCCACUUUAUAGUUUUGCCAACAUUAGUUCAGAAGUGUAAUUAACAGUAAACUUUCCCUAAUUGCCUUUUGUUUACAUAAAAUUUUGUGAAAUGUGGUUUUCAUUAACUUAGAAUUGUUUAGACCAAGUUAGUGAAUUCAGUGAAGGUGAAGAAUGCAGGCACAAACUAGUAAUGUGUAACUAGUAAGGCUGGAGAGAUGAUGUUCAUAUGAAAAGAAGGUCCUUUCCUUUUAUUGUCUGUUUAAUAACCUGCUGUAAGCUUACCAAUGCCCAUUUGCCCUUUCAUUGCAGAACACCUGUGUCCAGCUGGAUACCACGUUUCCUAGCUUUUUUUCAGCUAGGUAUGGUCAUGUGACUAAGCUUGGCCAGUAGGAUAUUAGCAGAAGUGAUAGGCACCACUUCUGCAUUAUAUCUGGAAGAGGAAUGCACCCCUUGCUCUUUUCCCCUUCUCAGUGGCUGGAAUGCAGAUAUGAAGGCAGGAUCUAGCAUAGAUACCUUGAAGUGGACAUGGAAGCCGAGGGAUGAGGAUGACAGUUGUGCUACCCCUGAAAGAGUACUGUGCUACACCUGAAAGAGUACUGUGAGAAAGAAACUUGCGUGGCGGAUGGCUUUGUUAUAGCAGUUUGGACUGUAACCUAAUUAAUACUUACUUGCCAAUUGAGUGAUUAACACAGGUCCAACUUUAUGGUAGGCAGGGCAGUAGGGCUGGAAUCAUUGUUCUUGUCCUCAUGGAAAGUGAAGCUGUAACAGAGUAGUUCCGAGUUCAUUAGGUUAAUCAGUUUUGGAGGGUGGAGAAGCAGGACCCACAAAUGAGGGUUAUUUUAAACUAUAGACUCUACUUCUGUGUUUCUGAAUAUUUUUAUUUUUUCUGGCCCUGAGCCGUAUGAGCUUGUUCAUUCAUUUGACUAAUAUUUGAGGGCUUGUUAGAUGUCAGGCUGAGGAAUAAGAGUGGUUAAAACAAAAAUUCUUUCCCUUAAGGAUCUUCAUUCUGGUUAAUGAAGACAGCAAACAAGGUAAAUAAAAUAUAUGGUGUGUUUACUAGUAAGUUCCAAAGAGAAAAAAAUAAAGCAGGAAAGGAAUAUACCAGGGUUGGGGAACAAGGUGGAAUUAUAAUUUUAGAUAUAGUAGCCAGGGAAGGUUUCACUGAGUAAAUAAUCUUUGAUCGAAGUCCAGGAAGAUGAGGAAGUUGUUACGUGAAGCAGUGAUUUAACCAGUUCUUAUUCAAGGCAAUUCAGAAGGCAUGUGAAUGUUACUGCAAUGAUCUGUGCUUUUCUGCAGAAAAUGAAUAAUUCAAGCAGAAAUAGCUAAAGGUACAAACUUCUAUUAAAUUGCUUGUUCUUUAGUCUCUGCAGGAGAUAUAGUAAUAACUGAAGUGUUACACAGGUGGAGACGGGAAACGUUAGUUGCUAAGAACUUUGGAUUACCACCGCUAGGAAACCAGCCACUUGGAAGACCAAUCAAUAAAGGAGUGUUCAACUCAAUAUUUCACCUGAUACAAGAUGAUGAAACGGGCUAUCAGAAAUACAGAAAUAACGAUGAAGGCAUGGAGUGGAUGAUCAAGCUCAGGUCAUUGGCUCCAGAACUCAGACUCUUGGUCACCACUAUGCUACCUCUCCUUGACUCCUAGCAUCUGCAGCUACCUCCCCACCGUGAUCUCCAGCCUCUCCCCCAACCCCCA